GAUUUCAUGAUGUUUGACUGUUUUUUAGUCAAAUACAAGUAUGUGGGACAGGAGUGUUUGGUGGGAAGGGUAUAGGGGACGAAGUAGGGGAUAGUGUGUUAGAAACGGGUAUGGCAGUGGGUGUAUGUGUUGGGUUAGGUGGAAUAUUAGUGGCUGAAUCAUGAGUGGGUGUGGUGUGUAUUUAGAUUAUAGAAAAUAUGAGGAGAAUGGUCAGUGUCAAGAAAAGAAUAAGAGGGGUGAGUGGUAUGAGUUGAGGAAGAGUAUGGGAAAACAAGUUUUUUUUUUUUUU
RNAcentral lists this long non-coding RNA (289 nucleotides) under Helianthus annuus (common sunflower). RNAcentral's name for it is "sRNA HanXRQr2_Chr11g0499281". Lineage: Eukaryota; Viridiplantae; Streptophyta; Magnoliopsida; Asterales; Asteraceae. The record is from RNAcentral.